UACGUAGGGUGCGAGCGUUAAUCGGAAUUACUGGGCGUAAAGCGUGCGCAGGCGGUUCGCUGUGUCCGAUGUGAAAGCCCCGGGCUCAACCUGGGAAUGGCAUGGGAAACUGGCGGGCUGGAGUGUGGCAGAGGGGGGUGGAAUUCCGCGUGUAGCAGUGAAAUGCGUAGAGAUGCGGAGGAACACCGAUGGCGAAGGCAGCCCCCUGGGCCAACACUGACGCUCAGGCACGAAAGCGUAGGGAGCAAACAGG
Molecule: ribosomal RNA, 253 nt
Filed under: uncultured bacterium
Lineage: Bacteria
Description: partial 16S ribosomal RNA
Rfam family: Bacterial small subunit ribosomal RNA
Source: RNAcentral